Molecule: ribosomal RNA, 276 nt
Filed under: uncultured bacterium
Lineage: Bacteria
Description: partial 16S ribosomal RNA
Rfam family: Bacterial small subunit ribosomal RNA
Source: RNAcentral
GACGAACGCUGGCGGCGUGCUUAACACAUGCAAGUCGAGCGGACCCCAACCACUCGCAAGAGUGGGGAAGGGUUAGCGGCGAACGGGUGAGUAACACGUGAGGAACCUGCCUCGGAGACCGGGAUAACCCCCCGAAGGGGAGCUAAUACCGGAUGUCGUCAUCGGAUCGCAUGGUCUGAUGACGAAAUGGAUUCCGCUCCGAGAGGGCCUCGCGGCCUAUCAGCUUGUUGGNGAGGUAACGGCUCACCAAGGCGUCGACGGGUAGCUGGUCUGAGA